AACUGACGCUGAGGCUCGAAAGUAUGGGUAGCAAACAGGAUUAGAUACCCUGGUAGUCCAUACCGUAAACGAUGAAUGCUAAGUGUUGGAGGGUUUCCGCCCUUCAGUGCUGCAGCUAACGCAUUAAGCAUUCCGCCUGGGGAGUACGGCCGCAAGGCUGAAACUCAAAGGAAUUGACGGGGGCCCGCACAAGCGGUGGAGCAUGUGGUUUAAUUCGAAGCUACGCGAAGAACCUUACCAGGUCUUGACAUACUAUGCAAAUCUAAGAGAUUAGACGUUCCCUUCGGGGACAUGGAUACAGGUGGUGCAUGGUUGUCGUCAGCUCGUGUCGUGAGAUGUUGGGUUAAGUCCCGCAACGAGCGCAACCCUUAUUAUCAGUUGCCAGCAUUAAGUUGGGCACUCUGGUGAGACUGCCGGUGACAAACCGGAGGAAGGUGGGGAUGACGUCAAAUCAUCAUGCCCCUUAUGACCUGGGCUACACACGUGCUACAAUGGAUGGUACAACGAGUUGCGAACUCGCGAGAGUAAGCUAAUCUCUUAAAGCCAUUCUCAGUUCGGAUUGUAGGCUGCAACUCGCCUACAUGAAGUCGGAAUCGCUAGUAAUCGCGGAUCAGCAUGCCGCGGUGAAUACGUUCCCGGGCCUUGUACACACCGCCCGUCACACCAUGAGAGUUUGUAACACCCAAAGUCGGUGGGGUAACCUUUUAGGAACCAGCCGCCUAAGGUGGGACAGAUGAUUAGGGUGAAGUCGAACAAU
RNAcentral lists this ribosomal RNA (757 nucleotides) under Lactiplantibacillus plantarum. RNAcentral's name for it is "bacterial SSU rRNA". It matches the Rfam family "Bacterial small subunit ribosomal RNA", at positions 738 to 1495 of the family's 1533-position model. Lineage: Bacteria; Bacillati; Bacillota; Bacilli; Lactobacillales; Lactobacillaceae. The record is from RNAcentral.